AUACGGAGGAUCCGAGCGUUAUCCGGAUUUAUUGGGUUUAAAGGGUGCGCAGGCGGCCAUUUAAGUCAGCGGUUAAAUCGCGGGGCUCAACCCCAUUCUGCCGUUGAUACUGGGUGGCUUGAUUGCGGUCGAGGUUGGCGGAAUUCGUUGUGUAGCGGUGAAAUGCAUAGAUAUGACGAAGAACACCGAUUGCGUAGGCAGCUGACCAGAUCGUAAAUGACGCUCAUGCACGAAAGUGCGGGGAUCGAACAGGAUUAGAUACCCUGGUAGUCCGCACAGUAAACGAUGAAUACUUGUUGUCGGCGAUAUAAUGUCGGAGGCAAAGCGAAAGUGAUAAGUAUUCCACCUGGGGAGUACGCCGGCAACGGUGAAACUCAAAGGAAUUGGCGGGG
This 392-nucleotide ribosomal RNA is filed under the name uncultured bacterium. RNAcentral's name for it is "partial 16S ribosomal RNA". It matches the Rfam family "Bacterial small subunit ribosomal RNA", at positions 523 to 918 of the family's 1533-position model. The record is from RNAcentral.